GACGAACGCUGGCGGCGUGCUUAACACAUGCAAGUCGAACGGAAAGGCCCUGCUUUUGUGGGGUGCUCGAGUGGCGAACGGGUGAGUAACACGUGAGUAACCUGCCCUUGACUUUGGGAUAACUUCAGGAAACUGGGGCUAAUACCGGAUAGGAGCUCCUGCUGCAUGGUGGGGGUUGGAAAGUUUCGGCGGUUGGGGAUGGACUCGCGGCUUAUCAGCUUGUUGGUGGGGUAGUGGCUUACCAAGGCUUUGACGGGUAGCCGGCCUGAGAGGGUGACCGGCCACAUUGGGACUGAGAUGCGGCCCAGACUCCUACGGGAGGCAGCAGUGGGGAAUAUUGCACAAUGGGCGGAAGCCUGAUGCAGCAAUGCCGCGUGCGGGAUGACGGCCUUCGGGUUGUAAACCGCUUUCGCCUGUGACGAAGCGUGAGUGACGGUAAUGGGUAAAGAAGCACCGGCUAACUACGUG
RNAcentral lists this ribosomal RNA (468 nucleotides) under uncultured bacterium. RNAcentral's name for it is "partial 16S ribosomal RNA". It matches the Rfam family "Bacterial small subunit ribosomal RNA", at positions 28 to 507 of the family's 1533-position model. The record is from RNAcentral.